This 253-nucleotide ribosomal RNA is filed under the name uncultured bacterium. RNAcentral's name for it is "partial 16S ribosomal RNA". It matches the Rfam family "Bacterial small subunit ribosomal RNA", at positions 524 to 776 of the family's 1533-position model. The record is from RNAcentral.
UACGUAGGGGGCAAGCGUUGUCCGGAUUUAUUGGGCGUAAAGAGCGUGUAGGCGGCCAGGCAGGUCCGCUGUGAAAACUCGAGGCUCAACCUCGAGAGGUCGGUGGAAACCGUUUGGCUAGAGUCCGGAAGAGGGGAGUGGAAUUCCCGGUGUAGCGGUGAAAUGCGCAGAUAUCGGGAAGAACACCCGUGGCGAAGGCGGCUCUCUGGGACGGUACUGACGCUGAGACGCGAAAGCGUGGGGAGCGAAUAGG